UACUAUAAAAAAAUUUAACUUAAUUCCAAAAACCUAAACCCAUUAAUAGGAAAAAGCAUCCAAACCAUAACGGGUUUGGAGCAUCCGCCAAUCAUGCCCACCUCCAACAGGUUGGCCAUACUACGACAACCCCCCCACCCCCCAAAACAAAAGCAAGUACUGAAACCACCAUGAAGUGGAUCAGAUGGAAGAUGACAAAGGUCGGGACCAAAUAAUCCAUCAUGGCUCCAACCAUCAAACCUUGAGAUCUAGUUCAUUGACAUUGAAGCUCUAUCACAUCCCAUCCGGUGGCUCACUAGGUGGAAGAUGAUACUUAGAGAAAACAACACAUCAAAGGCUCGGUUGGAAACUAAAAGAGCGAGCCUCGGUAGGGAGAGGAGAAGAGAAUCUCCAACAAAAGUGUGAGAAAGCUCCCACAAGCAGACGAUCUAACCCCAUUGCAUCUCGACGAUUGGAGGCUGAAGAAAAAGAAAAUGUGGUUAGAUACCAUCUUUAUUUUCAAAAAAGAGAAUAAUGACAAGGCUAAAGGGAAAAAGGAAAAGAAGAGAUGAGGAGGUAACCACAGAAGGAAGCAUUUAGGGAAGGUAGAGCAAACAACAACUAAUAUUUGAGAAACUAGAGAUAGAUGAAGUAAUUCCUAGAGGAAAACUAAUCGUUGUCAUAUCCAGAUUGAACUGGGAAAUGGUGAAAUAUUCAUAAAAUCCACCUAUUCCUGUAAAUUUUCUAAAAAAAACUGGUAAAUUUGAAAAUUUUC
Molecule: long non-coding RNA, 754 nt
Filed under: Gossypium barbadense (sea-island cotton)
Lineage: Eukaryota; Viridiplantae; Streptophyta; Magnoliopsida; Malvales; Malvaceae
Description: long non-coding RNA (GBAR_LNC022714)
Source: RNAcentral